This 241-nucleotide long non-coding RNA is filed under the name Setaria italica (foxtail millet). Its description in RNAcentral is "long non-coding RNA (SITA_LNC002543)". The record is from RNAcentral. Lineage: Eukaryota; Viridiplantae; Streptophyta; Magnoliopsida; Poales; Poaceae.
AAAUUAUAUAUUUAUCGUGCUUUCCUUUUUGAUUUUAUUUUUCCAUUCAAGAUAUCACAGAAUGUUUGAUAACUGAAACCAUUCUCAAGAAAAUCUUGCUAAUCAAACAAGGAAGUACCAGCGCACCUAUGCAGUAUGUAAGAUGCUCAGUGCAACCACAAGUUAGACAGAUCUCAGCAGGGAAAGACCGGCUUAACCAUCUAGAACUGUGUGCUUGUGUGUGCAUCAGAGUACACUUGAA